Long non-coding RNA from Nyctereutes procyonoides (raccoon dog), 1227 nucleotides. RefSeq lists it as uncharacterized. The transcript is spliced from 2 exons. NCBI's taxonomy places the organism in Eukaryota, Metazoa, Chordata, Mammalia, Carnivora, Canidae. The record is from RefSeq and is a predicted model, not a curated record.
GCCCCCGCCCGGCCGGCCGGCGCCGGAGUCUGGGGGCCCGGGCUGGGGGGCUGGAACCCGCGACGCGCUCUGACGUCACUGGAGGCCGCCCCGGCCGCGGCGGCGAGCGCGCAGGCUCCGCACGUCCCAUCCCGACGCGCGGGAGGGCGCGGGAGCCGCGGGAGCCGCGCGAGGCGUGGAGGCGGGAGGGGCCCCGGGGCGCUCCUCUGGGUUAGCGGCCGGCCUCCCUGAUUCGCGCGCGCACCAGGCCUUCCCACGCUUUUUCGUUGCUCCACGUCAGCGCUGCUUGUACGUUGUGCAAAAUCCGCGACGCAGAGCGGAGCCAUAUGGUGCGGAGUAGUUUUACCUCCCUGUUCCUGGGCCUGGGCCUCAGCUACCUGAGCCUAGCUAACCAUUGUUCUUCUCCUUCCACGCCACACCCUUAGAUCAAAGGUUCUCAAAAUGGGCUGCAAGCUGGGAUCACGUGGAAAGCUUUUGCGUUGUGGUCCCGCUCCCUGAGAUGCAUUUCGUUGGUAAGGGGCGUGACCUGAGCGUUGGAAUUUUUAAGAGCUCGCCCAGGUGAUUGCAGUGUGCCCCGGCUUGAAACCACCAGUCUCCAUCGGUGCUGCUCGCGCUUGAAUGGCUGUGGGAGUCAUCUGGGGGAUCUCGUUACAGUAAAUGCAGAUUCAACUUAGAGAGAAUUUGCAUGUGCAUGCGUGAACAGAAGAGGAGCAGAGGAAGAGGAAGAAAGAGAAUCUCAAGCAGACUCCUGCUGAGCUUGGAGCCUGACACUGGACCUCACAACUCUUGAGGUUAUGACCUGCGCUGAAAUCAAGAGUCAGGAGCUUAACCCACUGAGCCACCCAGGUGCCCCUUUCUUGUGAAAUUUUAAUUUUAUGAUGAACAUGUAUCAUUUUAUAAUUAGAAGAAUGUUAAAGCUAUUUUUAUCUUGAAAAAGUAAAACACAAGAAAGGUUAGUUUAAGGCAAAACUUCCCCAAGAAAAAUAACUUGUCAUAUGAGGAUGCAAAAAAAAAUUGGAUUACAUUUUACUAGGCAACAGAGCACCUUUGGUGACAAUUUCAAAUUUGGUAUGUCUGAGGAAAAAAUCAUGCAAAGCUGACUAAUGAAGCCAGAAGUAGUGGUAUUCCUUUCCUUCUUUAUUGUUUCUAAAGAAAUCAUAAGAUAUGCAAAAGAUGUACUUACUGGUGACCAUUGUCCUGUAGAAUAAAAAGAUGACUUAUUUUUUU